UUUCCGUAGGUGAACCUGCGGAAGGAUCAUUAUUGUAUAACCGAGGUGCGAGGGCUGUCGCUGACCCGAAAGGUCGUGCACGCCCGAGUGCCCUGACACACAUCCAUCUCACCCCUAUGUGCACCACCGCGUGGGUCCCCCUUUGGCUUGUUCGGAGAGGGGCUUACGUUUUCACACAAACUUUGUAUGCAGUGUAGAAUGUACUUUUUGUUUUUGCGAUCACGCAAUCAAUACAACUUUCAACAACGGAUCUCUUGGUUCUC
Molecule: unclassified non-coding RNA, 263 nt
Filed under: plant metagenome
Description: partial contains small subunit ribosomal RNA, internal transcribed spacer 1, and 5.8S ribosomal RNA
Source: RNAcentral